AUGGAGGGACCGACGUCGGAACACCAGCAGGCAGUGAAGAGGAUCGUCCGCUACGUAGCAGGGACCCUCGACCACGGCCUCCACUACCCUAGGUGUCCGGGGGCGGCACACUUCGUCGGGUACAGCGAUAGCGACCACGCCGGCGACAUCGACACCAGCAAGAGCACGAGCGGCAUCAUCUUCUUCCUCGGCAAGUGUCUCGUGAGCUGGCAAUCAGUCAAGCAGCAGGUGGUGGCCCUGUCCAGCUGUGAGGCUGAGUACAUAGCGGCCUCCACCGCUUGCACUCAGGCGCUCUGGCUCGCUCGACUGCUUGGUGAUCUUCUCGUUCAAGACGCCAGAAGGGUGCAGCUCCUGGUGGACAGCAAGUCCGCCCUAGCCCUGGCAAAGAACCCCGUGUUCCACGAACGAAGCAAGCACAUCCGACUGAGGUAUCACUUCAUCCGCAGCUGUGUGGAAGAAGGGAGCAUCGAGGCGAGCUACAUCAACACCACGGACCAGCUCGCAGACCUGCUCACCAAGCCUCUUGGGAGGGUCAAGUUCCUCGAACUUUGCUCCAGGAUCGGGAUGAUUCAACUCUCCCACAAGACGACGUACAAGACUUAG
RNAcentral lists this ribosomal RNA (603 nucleotides) under Triticum aestivum (bread wheat). Its description in RNAcentral is "partial small subunit ribosomal RNA". Lineage: Eukaryota; Viridiplantae; Streptophyta; Magnoliopsida; Poales; Poaceae. The record is from RNAcentral.